This 3073-nucleotide ribosomal RNA is filed under the name Campylobacter jejuni. RNAcentral describes it as "23S ribosomal RNA". It matches the Rfam family "Bacterial large subunit ribosomal RNA". The record is from RNAcentral. Lineage: Bacteria; Pseudomonadati; Campylobacterota; Epsilonproteobacteria; Campylobacterales; Campylobacteraceae.
UAAAAAAAGGUAAGCUACUAAGAGCGAAUGGUGGAUGCCUUGACUGGUAAAGGCGAUGAAGGACGUACUAGACUGCGAUAAGCUACGGGGAGCUGUCAAGAAGCUUUGAUCCGUAGAUUUCCGAAUGGGGCAACCCAAUGUAUAGAGAUAUACAUUACCUAUAUAGGAGCGAACGAGGGGAAUUGAAACAUCUUAGUACCCUCAGGAAAAGAAAUCAAUAGAGAUUGCGUCAGUAGCGGCGAGCGAAAGCGCAAGAGGGCAAACCCAGUGCUUGCACUGGGGGUUGUAGGACUGCAAUGUGCAAGAGGUAAGUUUAGCAGAACAUUCUGGAAAGUAUAACCAUAGAGGGUGAUAGUCCCGUAUGCGAAAAACAAACCUUAGCUAGCAGUAUCCUGAGUAGGGCGGGACACGAGGAAUCCUGUCUGAAUCCGGGUCGACCACGAUCCAACCCUAAAUACUAAUACCAGAUCGAUAGUGCACAAGUACCGUGAGGGAAAGGUGAAAAGAACUGAGGUGAUCAGAGUGAAAUAGAACCUGAAACCAUUUGCUUACAAUCAUUCAGAGCCCUAUGUAGCAAUACAGGGUGAUGGACUGCCUUUUGCAUAAUGAGCCUGCGAGUUGUGGUGUCUGGCAAGGUUAAGCAAACGCGAAGCCGUAGCGAAAGCGAGUCUGAAUAGGGCGCUUAGUCAGAUGCUGCAGACCCGAAACGAAGUGAUCUAUCCAUGAGCAAGUUGAAGCUAGUGUAAGAACUAGUGGAGGACUGAACCCAUAGGCGUUGAAAAGCCCCGGGAUGACUUGUGGAUAGGGGUGAAAGGCCAAUCAAACUUCGUGAUAGCUGGUUCUCUCCGAAAUAUAUUUAGGUAUAGCGUUGUGUCGUAAUAUAAGGGGGUAGAGCACUGAAUGGGCUAGGGCAUACACCAAUGUACCAAACCCUAUCAAACUCCGAAUACCUUAUAUGUAAUCACAGCAGUCAGGCGGCGAGUGAUAAAAUCCGUCGUCAAGAGGGAAACAACCCAGACUACCAGCUAAGGUCCCUAAAUCUUACUUAAGUGGAAAACGAUGUGAAGUUACUUAAACAACCAGGAGGUUGGCUUAGAAGCAGCCAUCCUUUAAAGAAAGCGUAAUAGCUCACUGGUCUAGUGAUUUUGCGCGGAAAAUAUAACGGGGCUAAAGUAAGUACCGAAGCUGUAGACUUGCACACAACUUAGAUUAUUUAAGUUUAGAAUAUGAGAAACUAAGUUAUAUGUUUAGUUAUAUUUUUACUGAUUUUUAUAGAGUAAAGAUAGAAAUAAAACUUAGUAAAAUCAGUAAAAAUAUUCUUAGACUAAAGUUAAGUAGUUUAAGUUGUGUGCAAGUGGUAGGAGAGCGUUCUAUUUGCGUCGAAGGUAUACCGGUAAGGAGUGCUGGAGCGAAUAGAAGUGAGCAUGCAGGCAUGAGUAGCGAUAAUUAAUGUGAGAAUCAUUAACGCCGUAAACCCAAGGUUUCCUACGCGAUGCUCGUCAUCGUAGGGUUAGUCGGGUCCUAAGUCGAGUCCGAAAGGGGUAGACGAUGGCAAAUUGGUUAAUAUUCCAAUACCAACAUUAGUGUGCGAUGGAAGGACGCUUAGGGCUAAGGGGGCUAGCGGAUGGAAGUGCUAGUCUAAGGUCGUAGGAGGUUAUACAGGCAAAUCCGUAUAACAAUACUCCGAGAACUGAAAGGCUUUUUGAAGUCUUCGGAUGGAUAGAAGAACCCCUGAUGCCGUCGAGCCAAGAAAAGUUUCUAAGUUUAGCUAAUGUUGCCCGUACCGUAAACCGACACAGGUGGGUGGGAUGAGUAUUCUAAGGCGCGUGGAAGAACUCUCUUUAAGGAACUCUGCAAAAUAGCACCGUAUCUUCGGUAUAAGGUGUGGUUAGCUUUGUAUUAGGAUUUACUCCGAAAGCAAGGAAACUUACAACAAAGAGUCCCUCCCGACUGUUUACCAAAAACACAGCACUCUGCUAACUCGUAAGAGGAUGUAUAGGGUGUGACGCCUGCCCGGUGCUCGAAGGUUAAUUGAUGGGGUUAGCAUUAGCGAAGCUCUUGAUCGAAGCCCGAGUAAACGGCGGCCGUAACUAUAACGGUCCUAAGGUAGCGAAAUUCCUUGUCGGUUAAAUACCGACCUGCAUGAAUGGCGUAACGAGAUGGGAGCUGUCUCAAAGAGGGAUCCAGUGAAAUUGUAGUGGAGGUGAAAAUUCCUCCUACCCGCGGCAAGACGGAAAGACCCCGUGGACCUUUACUACAGCUUGACACUGCUACUUGGAUAAGAAUGUGCAGGAUAGGUGGGAGGCUUUGAGUAUAUGACGCCAGUUGUAUAUGAGCCAUUGUUGAGAUACCACUCUUUCUUAUUUGGGUAGCUAACCAGCUUGAGUUAUCCUCAAGUGGGACAAUGUCUGGUGGGUAGUUUGACUGGGGCGGUCGCCUCCCAAAUAAUAACGGAGGCUUACAAAGGUUGGCUCAGAACGGUUGGAAAUCGUUCGUAGAGUAUAAAGGUAUAAGCCAGCUUAACUGCAAGACAUACAAGUCAAGCAGAGACGAAAGUCGGUCUUAGUGAUCCGGUGGUUCUGUGUGGAAGGGCCAUCGCUCAAAGGAUAAAAGGUACCCCGGGGAUAACAGGCUGAUCUCCCCCAAGAGCUCACAUCGACGGGGAGGUUUGGCACCUCGAUGUCGGCUCAUCGCAUCCUGGGGCUGGCGCAGGUCCCAAGGGUAUGGCUGUUCGCCAUUUAAAGCGGUACGCGAGCUGGGUUCAGAACGUCGUGAGACAGUUCGGUCCCUAUCUGCCGUGGGCGUAAGAAGAUUGAAGAGAUUUGACCCUAGUACGAGAGGACCGGGUUGAACAAACCACUGGUGUAGCUGUUGUUCUGCCAAGAGCAUCGCAGCGUAGCUAAGUUUGGAAAGGAUAAACGCUGAAAGCAUCUAAGCGUGAAGCCAACUCUAAGAUGAAUCUUCUCUAAGCUCUCUAGAAGACUACUAGUUUGAUAGGCUGGGUGUGUAAUGGAUGAAAGUCCUUUAGCUGACCAGUACUAAUAGAGCGUUUGGCUUAUCUUUAAUAAAGCAU